GAUGAACGCUGGCGGCGUGCCUAAUACAUGCAAGUCGAGCGAACGGACGAGAAGCUUGCUUCUCUGAUGUUAGCGGCGGACGGGUGAGUAACACGUGGAUAACCUACCUAUAAGACUGGGAUAACUUCGGGAAACCGUAGCUAAUACCGGAUAAUAUUUUGAACCGCAUGGUUCAAAAGUGAAAGACGGUCUUGCUUUCACUUAUAGAUGGAUCCGCGCUGCAUUAGCUAGUUGGUAAGGUAACGGCUUACCAAGGCAACGAUGCAUAGCCGACCUGAGAGGGGGGUAGGCGACACGGGAAGGGGGACGGGGACAAUACGCCUACGGGAGGGAGCAGUAGGGAAUGUUAGGCAAUGGGGGAAAGCCUGACGGAGCAAGGCGGAGUGAGAGAUGAAGGUGUCGGGAGCGGAAAAAUCGGUUUUGAGGGAAGAACAGUUGUGUAAGUAACUGAGCACAGCUUGACGGUACCUAAUAAGAAAGCCACGGCUAACUACGUG
RNAcentral lists this ribosomal RNA (497 nucleotides) under uncultured bacterium. RNAcentral's name for it is "partial 16S ribosomal RNA". It matches the Rfam family "Bacterial small subunit ribosomal RNA", at positions 28 to 507 of the family's 1533-position model. The record is from RNAcentral.